UUNUGAACUGGGUGACUAGAGUGUNUCAGAGGGAGGUAGAAUUCCACGUGUAGCAGCGAAAUGCGUAGAGAUGUGGAGGAAUACCGAUGGCGAAGGCAGCNUCCUGGGAUAACACUGACGUUCAUGCCCGAAAGCGUGGGUAGCAAACAGGAUUAGAUACCCUGGUAGUCCACGCCCUAAACGAUGUCGAUUAGCUGUUGGGCAGCAUGACUGCUUAGUAGCGAAGCUAACGCGUGAAAUCGACCGCCUGGGGAGUACGGUCGCAAGAUUAAAACUCAAAGGAAUUGACGGGGACCCGCACAAGCGGUGGAUGAUGUGGAUUAAUUCGAUGCAACGCGAAGAACCUUACCUGGUCUUGACAUGUACGGAAUCCUCCAGAGACGGAGGAGUGCCUUCGGGAGCCGUAACACAGGUGCUGCAUGGCUGUCGUCAGCUCGUGUCGUGAGAUGUUGGGUUAAGUCCCGCAACGAGCGCAACCCUUGUCAUUAGUUGCCAUCAUUAAGUUGGGCACUCUAAUGAGACUGCCGGUGACAAGCCGGAGGAAGGUGGGGAUGACGUCAAGUCCUCAUGGCCCUUAUGACCAGGGCUUCACACGUCAUACAAUGGUCGGUACAGAGGGUAGCCAAGCCGCGAGGCGGAGCCAAUCUCACAAAACUGAUCGUAGUCCGGAUUGCACUCUGCAACUCGAGUGCAUGAAGUCGGAAUCGCUAGUAAUCGCAGGUCAGCAUACUGCGGUGAAUACGUUCCCGGGUCUUGUACACACCGCCCGUCACACCAUGGGAGUGGGGGAUACCAGAAGUAGGUAGGGUAACCGCAAGGAGCC
RNAcentral lists this ribosomal RNA (823 nucleotides) under uncultured bacterium. RNAcentral's name for it is "bacterial SSU rRNA". It matches the Rfam family "Bacterial small subunit ribosomal RNA", at positions 626 to 1450 of the family's 1533-position model. The record is from RNAcentral.